This 29-nucleotide small RNA is filed under the name Bombyx mori (domestic silkworm). Its description in RNAcentral is "ovarian small RNA-31307". Lineage: Eukaryota; Metazoa; Arthropoda; Insecta; Lepidoptera; Bombycidae. The record is from RNAcentral.
UGACAACUGAUUUGUGUAUUACAGCGCCC